GAUGAACGCUGGCGGCGUGCUUAACACAUGCAAGUCGAACGGGAAACCUUUUAUUGAAGCUUCGGCAGAUUUCGCUGGUUUCUAGUGGCGGACGGGUGAGUAACGCGUGGGUAACCUGCCUUAUACAGGGGGAUAACAGUCAGAAAUGGCUGCUAAUACCGCAUAAGCGCACAGAGCUGCAUGGCUCAGUGUGAAAAACUCCGGUGGUAUAAGAUGGACCCGCGUUGGAUUAGCUGGUUGGUGGGGUAACGGCCCACCAAGGCGACGAUCCAUAGCCGGCCUGAGAGGGUGAACGGCCACAUUGGGACUGAGACACGGCCCAGACUCCUACGGGAGGCAGCAGUGGGGAAUAUUGCACAAUGGGGGAAACCCUGAUGCAGCGACGCCGCGUGAAGGAAGAAGUAUCUCGGUAGGUAAACUUCUAUCAGCAGGGAAGAUAAUGACGGUACCUGACUAAGAAGCCCCGGCUAACUACGU
This 477-nucleotide ribosomal RNA is filed under the name uncultured bacterium. RNAcentral describes it as "partial 16S ribosomal RNA". It matches the Rfam family "Bacterial small subunit ribosomal RNA", at positions 28 to 506 of the family's 1533-position model. The record is from RNAcentral.